This is a non-coding RNA of Podarcis lilfordi (Lilford's wall lizard), 78 nucleotides long. The record is from the annotation of a GenBank genome assembly. Lineage: Eukaryota; Metazoa; Chordata; Lepidosauria; Squamata; Lacertidae.
GGCUGUAGCUCAGUGGUAGAGCAUCUGCCUUGUAUGCAUAGUGUCCCAGGUGCAAUCUGGCAUCUCCUGGUAAGGCUG